CAAAUAGUUAGCGCUUGCUCCGAUCUGGUGCUUCCGUUCAGCACCGGCUGGAUGAGGCCGCGGCGAUCGGAUGGGCCUGAGCCAGGAUCAAACUCUGCCUGAUGGAGGGGGAUAACUACUGGAAACGGUAGCUAAUACCGCAUAACGUCGCAAGACCAAAGUGGGGGACCUUCGGGCCUCAUGCCAUCAGAUGUGCCCAGAUGGGAUUAGCUAGUAGGUGGGGUAACGGCUCACCUAGGCGACGAUCCCUAGCUGGUCUGAGAGGAUGACCAGCCACACUGGAACUGAGACACGGUCCAGACUCCUACGGGAGGCAGCAGUGGGGAAUAUUGCACAAUGGGCGCAAGCCUGAUGCAGCCAUGCCGCGUGUGUGAAGAAGGCCUUCGGGUUGUAAAGCACUUUCAGCGGGGAGGAAGGCGAUAAGGUUAAUAACCUUGUCGAUUGACGUUACCCGCAGAAGAAGCACCGGCUAACUCCGUGCCAGCAGCCGCGGUAAUACGGAGGGUGCAAGCGUUAAUCGGAAUUACUGGGCGUAAAGCGCACGCAGGCGGUCUGUCAAGUCGGAUGUGAAAUCCCCGGGCUCAACCUGGGAACUGCAUUCGAAACUGGCAGGCUAGAGUCUUGUAGAGGGGGGUAGAAUUCCAGGUGUAGCGGUGAAAUGCGUAGAGAUCUGGAGGAAUACCGGUGGCGAAGGCGGCCCCCUGGACAAAGACUGACGCUCAGGUGCGAAAGCGUGGGGAGCAAACAGGAUUAGAUACCCUGGUAGUCCACGCCGUAAACGAUGUCGAUUUGGAGGUUGUGCCCUUGAGGCGUGGCUUCCGGAGCUAACGCGUUAAAUCGACCGCCUGGGGAGUACGGCCGCAAGGUUAAAACUCAAAUGAAUUGACGGGGGCCCGCACAAGCGGUGGAGCAUGUGGUUUAAUUCGAUGCAACGCGAAGAACCUUACCUGGUCUUGACAUCCACAGAACUUUCCAGAGAUGGAUUGGUGCCUUCGGGAACUGUGAGACAGGUGCUGCAUGGCUGUCGUCAGCUCGUGUUGUGAAAUGUUGGGUUAAGUCCCGCAACGAGCGCAACCCUUAUCCUUUGUUGCCAGCGGUUAGGCCGGGAACUCAAAGGAGACUGCCAGUGAUAAACUGGAGGAAGGUGGGGAUGACGUCAAGUCAUCAUGGCCCUUACGACCAGGGCUACACACGUGCUACAAUGGCAUAUACAAAGAGAAGCGACCUCGCGAGAGCAAGCGGACCUCAUAAAGUAUGUCGUAGUCCGGAUUGGAGUCUGCAACUCGACUCCAUGAAGUCGGAAUCGCUAGUAAUCGUAGAUCAGAAUGCUACGGUGAAUACGUUCCCGGGCCUUGUACACACCGCCCGUCACACCAUGGGAGUGGGUUGCAAAAGAAGUAGGUAGCUUAACCUUCGGGAGGGCGCUUUACCCACCUUUGGUUUCCAG
Molecule: ribosomal RNA, 1447 nt
Filed under: Klebsiella sp. A19
Lineage: Bacteria; Pseudomonadati; Pseudomonadota; Gammaproteobacteria; Enterobacterales; Enterobacteriaceae
Description: bacterial SSU rRNA
Rfam family: Bacterial small subunit ribosomal RNA
Source: RNAcentral